This 514-nucleotide ribosomal RNA is filed under the name uncultured bacterium. RNAcentral describes it as "partial 16S ribosomal RNA". It matches the Rfam family "Bacterial small subunit ribosomal RNA", at positions 28 to 523 of the family's 1533-position model. The record is from RNAcentral.
GAUGAACGCUGGCGGCGUGCCUAAUACAUGCAAGUCGAGCGCGAGAAUGAGGAGCUUGCUCCUCAUGAUCGAGCGGCGGACGGGUGAGUAACACGUAGGCAACCUACCCUUGAGAUUGGGAUAACUACCGGAAACGGUAGCUAAUACCGGAUACGACUUUUCCACAUAAGUGGAAUUGUUAAAAGGCGGAUUUAUCUGCCGCUCAUGGAUGGGCCUGCGGUGCAUUAGCUAGUUGGUGAGGUAGUGGCUCACCAAGGCGACGAUGCAUAGCCGACCUGAGAGGGUGAUCGGCCACACUGGGACUGAGACACGGCCCAGACUCCUACGGGAGGCAGCAGUAGGGAAUCUUCCGCAAUGGACGCAAGUCUGACGGAGCAACGCCGCGUGAGUGAUGAAGGGUUUCGGCUCGUAAAACUCUGUUGUUAAGGAAGAACACUUGAGGUAGUAACUGGCCUUGAGAUGACGGUACUUAACCAGAAAGCCACGGCUAACUACGUGCCAGCCGCCGCGGUAA